This 497-nucleotide ribosomal RNA is filed under the name uncultured bacterium. Its description in RNAcentral is "partial 16S ribosomal RNA". It matches the Rfam family "Bacterial small subunit ribosomal RNA", at positions 28 to 507 of the family's 1533-position model. The record is from RNAcentral.
GAUGAACGCUGGCGGCGUGCCUAAUACAUGCAAGUCGAGCGAACAGACGAGGAGCUUGCUCCUCUGACGUUAGCGGCGGACGGGUGAGUAACACGUGGAUAACCUACCUAUAAGACUGGGAUAACUUCGGGAAACCGGAGCUAAUACCGGAUAAUAUAUUGAACCGCAUGGUUCAAUAGUGAAAGACGGUUUUGCUGUCACUUAUAGAUGGAUCCGCGCCGCAUUAGCUAGUUGGUAAGGUAACGGCUUACCAAGGCGACGAUGCGUAGCCGACCUGAGAGGGUGAUCGGCCACACUGGAACUGAGACACGGCCCAGACUCCUACGGGAGGCAGCAGUAGGGAAUCUUCCGCAAUGGGCGAAAGCCUGACGGAGCAACGCCGCGUGAGUGAUGAAGGUCUUCGGAUCGUAAAACUCUGUUAUUAGGGAAGAACAAAUGUGUAAGUAACUAUGCACGUCCUGACGGUACCUAAUCAGAAAGCCACGGCUAACUACGUG